Cyprinus carpio (common carp) is the source of this 197-nucleotide long non-coding RNA. RefSeq lists it as uncharacterized. The record is from RefSeq and is a predicted model, not a curated record. The transcript is spliced from 3 exons. NCBI's taxonomy places the organism in Eukaryota, Metazoa, Chordata, Actinopteri, Cypriniformes, Cyprinidae.
ACACAGUCAGUAUUCGAGUGAACGCCUAUAUGAUGGCCGGAAGCCUCCAUUUCCUCCUCCUGUCACUCUGUGUUUUGUUGGAACCUGUGACAGAAAUCGGUGGUUUGCUUCUGAAACCAGUUCUGUCUGGACCCAGUGAGGCCUAUGUGAGAUCUGAAGUUCAGUUUGACUGUGCAGUUCCAGGCUGGUCUUCACCC